AUCACUGUGACUGGUAAAGAGUUUUGUUCAUUGCAGGUGAUUUGCAGUUCAUAAGAAGAUUUUAAUAAAAUUGGAAGAAAUUACUAAGGUAUCAUAAGGAGACCAAACUGUAUUUGCACCAGCAGUGCAGUCAGGACAGCAACGUGAGCAGCUGAGGACUGGCACCCCCUUCAGAAAGCAGACAAUUGCAGCUGGUAAUCCCCUGAACUGCCACUGUAGGGUUUCAUAAAGCUCAUAAAGCUUCUCUGGCAGAGCCUUUCAUGCUCUACCACCUUAAAAGGUAACUAAGAAGUGUUAAUAAUAUUUAUGUAUGAAGUCAAAGUCUCUGUUGGUGCCAUGAGCACUUUGUUAUGCACAAGAAAUACAUUAAUGUUUCUGUCUAGAACCACAAGCAAAAUUCUUUGUUGACCAGGAGGAAAUUUUCAUAGUCUAUUUGAAUAAUAUCCCCUUAAUUAGAAUCAGAAAACGCAGGACUAUUGGACUUUAUAAUCAAUCAUCUGGUGAUAACGCAAAGAUUUCCCAAUGUCCCUUGGACAAACCACUUACAAAAACAGGCUUGUAUUUUUAAACAGAAAUUGGAUUUGAAAGAGAUGUAGCAUAAAGGUACUUUAUAGUCUUUGCGCAUUAUAAAGUGUUUCAGUGGUGGGAAUAAUUUUGGCUCAUUUUUGCUUGCUGUUGCUUUCCACAGGGAGCCCACAGGGAACCUAUGAGAUUUUUAUAAGAGGCCUGUGAAAAAUUACCUGUGAAAAUUCAGGGAGUUUUGAUUUGCUUUGUAAAGCUAUGCUCCUCCACUGGGACAAAAAAGAAAACUAGGAGCCUGCAAACUAGUAUAGAAGUAUACGUUUGUGCUGUAGAUGACUGCAUACUAACACCUCUGUGAUCAAGCACAUGCUUUUGCCCACCGUGAUUUUAUUAAUCUUCUGAGUUCUCAGGUAGAUCUCUCAGUGAUCUGAAUUCUUGGGAUGUCAACAAAAAAACCCUCAAAUUUAUUUAAGGAAUAUAUAGGGUUUAAAUAGAUAUAUAAAUUGAGAAACAAAUUAGAGUUAUAAUGGUUUUAAGUAAACACACAUACACACAAAAUCCCAAAACAAACAAACAAAUAAAACCAGUCUCCAAACUGAACAAGCUGUCUUUCAUUCUCUUGUCUAAUUAAAUUUUUUGAGAACUACCAUUUUGAGAAGCAUAUGUGGCACAGACUUCCUAGUCAUUUUGGGAAUGAGUUAGAUAUGUGUCUGCAUAUUAUUCAAAUUCCAGCUGAUUGAGACGCUGCAUAUACUUGAAGUUCUCUGCAAUAUUUGUGUGGUUAAUCAUGAACAGCAAAAGUAGCUCGGAACUUUUAGAUAAAAUGAUUUUCAUCCAAAAACCCACCUAAGCCAAGACUUGGUAGGAAGUGGAUCAAAAAAAUUUUCAAAGCACUGAAAACUGAAUUUGAUAAAAACGCAUUUUUAACACUUCAAAGAUUUUGUUCUAUCAAAAAUGGCUUUUAGUUACAAAAAAUACACUAAUUCUAGUACAAUCCAAAUGUUCUUAGAAAACCUGAAAGAAAUAUUGCCAUUGACUCUUUUGACAUUACUAUUAUUUUCAGUUCUGAAACUUUGUCUAGGUUUUAAUUUCUAAUAUCUUUUUUUUUUUUCCUCACAGUUUGAGAAAGGGAUCUUUUCACAAGAUGGGAAACAAUCUAAAUCCAGUCCUAAUUCAGUCCCAUAUGUUACACAGGAGUUGGUAUAGCUUAGUUGGUAGAAAGAAUAAAGGAAAACCACACAAGAGCCUCUGGGGAAAGAAGAAAAAAAAAAAAAAAAAAAAAAAA
Molecule: long non-coding RNA, 1807 nt
Organism: Coturnix japonica (Japanese quail)
Lineage: Eukaryota; Metazoa; Chordata; Aves; Galliformes; Phasianidae
Source: RefSeq, a predicted model, not a curated record